RNAcentral lists this ribosomal RNA (1346 nucleotides) under uncultured bacterium. Its description in RNAcentral is "partial 16S ribosomal RNA". It matches the Rfam family "Bacterial small subunit ribosomal RNA", at positions 28 to 1381 of the family's 1533-position model. The record is from RNAcentral.
GACGAACGCUUGCGGCGUGCUUAACACAUGCAAGUCGAACGGAAAGGCCCUGCUUUUGUGGGGUGCUCGAGUGGCGAACGGGUGAGCAACACGUGAGUAACCUGCCCUUGACUUUGGGAUAACUUCAGGAAACUGGGGCUAAUACCGGAUAGGAGCUCCUGCUGCAUGGUGGGGGUUGGAAAGUUUCGGCGGUUGGGGAUGGACUCGCGGCUUAUCAGCUUGUUGGUGGGGUAGUGGCUUACCAAGGCUUUGACGGGUAGCCGGCCUGAGAGGGUGACCGGCCACAUUGGGACUGAGAUACGGCCCAGACUCCUACGGGAGGCAGCAGUGGGGAAUAUUGCACAAUGGGCGGAAGCCUGAUGCAGCAACGCCGCGUGCGGGAUGACGGCCUUCGGGUUGUAAACCGCUUUCGCCUGUGACGAAGCGUGAGUGACGGUAAUGGGUAAAGAAGCACCGGCUAACUACGUGCCAGCAGCCGCGGUGAUACGUAGGGUGCGAGCGUUGUCCGGAUUUAUUGGGCGUAAAGGGCUCGUAGGUGGUUGAUCGCGUCGGAAGUGUAAUCUUGGGGCUUAACCCUGAGCGUGCUUUCGAUACGGGUUGACUUGAGGAAGGUAGGGGAGAAUGGAAUUCCUGGUGGAGCGGUGGAAUGCGCAGAUAUCAGGAGGAACACCAGUGGCGAAGGCGGUUCUCUGGGCCUUUCCUGACGCUGAGGAGCGAAAGCGUGGGGAGCGAACAGGCUUAGAUACCCUGGUAGUCCACGCUGUAAACGGUGGGUACUAGGUGUGGGGUCCAUUCCACGGGUUCCGUGCCGUAGCUAACGCUUUAAGUACCCCGCCUGGGGAGUACGGCCGCAAGGCUAAAACUCAAAGGAAUUGACGGGGCCCCGCACAAGCGGCGGAGCAUGCGGAUUAAUUCGAUGCAACGCGUAGAACCUUACCUGGGUUUGACAUGGAUCGGGAGUGCUCAGAGAUGGGUGUGCCUCUUUUGGGGUCGGUUCACAGGUGGUGCAUGGCUGUCGUCAGCUCGUGUCGUGAGAUGUUGGGUUAAGUCCCGCAACGAGCGCAACCCUUGUUCACUGUUGCCAGCACGUUAUGGUGGGGACUCAGUGGAGACCGCCGGGGUCAACUCGGAGGAAGGUGGGGAUGACGUCAAGUCAUCAUGCCCCUUAUGUCCAGGGCCUCACGCAUGCUACAAUGGCUGGUACAGAGAGUGGCGAGCCUGUGAGGGUGAGCGAAUCUCGGAAAGCCGGUCUCAGUUCGGAUUGGGGUCUGCAACUCGACCUCAUGAAGUCGGAGUCGCUAGUAAUCGCAGAUCAGCAACGCUGCGGUGAAUACGUUCCCGGGGCU